GAGGCUUUAGUAUAAAUAAGUAUAAUUUAUUUUCAAUAAAUUGGUUUGAAGUCUUGUA
RNAcentral lists this transfer RNA (58 nucleotides) under Oesophagostomoides longispicularis. RNAcentral describes it as "tRNA-Glu". Lineage: Eukaryota; Metazoa; Nematoda; Chromadorea; Rhabditida; Strongylidae. The record is from RNAcentral.